AGAGUUUGAUCCUGGCUCAGGAUGAACGCUGGCGGCGUGCCUAAUACAUGUAAGUCGCGCGGAGAAUUUAGCAAUAAGUUCUUAGCGGCGAACGGGUGAGUAACGCGUUGGUGACCUGCCCCAAAGUGUGGGAUAACAGUUCGAAAGGAUUGCUAAUACCGCAUGUGAUCACCGGGAUUAGAGGCCCGGCGAUUAAAGCCGAAAGGCGCUAUGGGAGGGACCUGCGUCCCAUCAGCUAGUUGGUAGGGUAACGGCCUACCAAGGCGAUGACGGGUAGGGGACCUGAGAGGGUGGCCCCCCACAAUGGAACUGAAACACGGUCCAUACACCUACGGGUGGCAGCAGUAGGGAAUAUUGCAUAAUGGGCGAAAGCCUGAUGCAGCAACGCCGCGUGUGCGAUGAAGGCCUUCGGGUCGUAAAGCACUUUUGGAGGGGAUGAGGAAGGACAGUACCCUCUGAAUAAGCCUCGGCUAACUACGUGCCAGCAGCCGCGGUAAAACGUAGGAGGCGAGCGUUAUCCGGAUUUACUGGGCGUAAAGCGCGUGCAGGUGGUUCGGUAAGUUGGAUGUGAAAGCUCCUGGCUUAGCUGGGAGAGGUCGUUCAAUACUACCGGACUUGAGAGUGGGAGAGGGAGGUGGAAUUCCGGGUGUAGUGGUGAAAUGCGUAGAUAUCCGGAGGAACACCAGUGGCGAAAGCGGCCUCCUGGCCCACAACUGACACUCAGACGCGAAAGCUAGGGGAGCGAACGGGAUUAGAGACCCCGGUAGUCCUAGCUGUAAACGAUGCGGACUUGGCGUCGGUGGGUUUAAAUCCAUCGGUGCCGAAGCUAACGCGAUAAGUCCGCCGCCUGGGGACUACGGCCGCAAGGUUAAAACUCAAA
RNAcentral lists this ribosomal RNA (880 nucleotides) under uncultured bacterium. RNAcentral's name for it is "bacterial SSU rRNA". It matches the Rfam family "Bacterial small subunit ribosomal RNA", at positions 8 to 905 of the family's 1533-position model. The record is from RNAcentral.